This is a non-coding RNA of Notechis scutatus (mainland tiger snake), 562 nucleotides long. Lineage: Eukaryota; Metazoa; Chordata; Lepidosauria; Squamata; Elapidae. The record is from RefSeq and is a predicted model, not a curated record.
GCGCCACAGUCGGAAAUAAGCGGCGAACUUCGUGCAGAACCUGAACCAGCUUGGUGCGUAAAACGUUUUGGUGGGGCACUGUGCGCAUGCGUCCCGCUCGGGUCAUUCUUGAGGAAAAGCUCACCUCUUUGACAUCAGGAUUAUGAAUAUCGUGUGACUGGAUGUAGACAGCAAAACCAACAAAGGCAAGAGCCAGUGAAAGGAGGCAGAAGAAGAAGGAGACCAGAGGUGGAUGUCGUUCCAGGCAGAUACGCAGGGAGGCCAGUAGGGAGCAGAUGACCAUGAAAGCAGAAUACUUAAGAUUUUGUUGUCCCAAUUUGGAGAAACGGUUGACAGAUUUUGCUGAAAUGGAUAAAUUAACGAUUAGAGAAAAGACAUUACAUUGAUUGCUGACUAGAAGCUCUUAUGGACCUUUUGCACAAAAUGAACUUGUGACAUACUUUUGAUGAUUAGACAGGAUAGAUUAUAGAAGAAAGAGUAAUACAUAAUUUUAGAACAAGGGGAAGAAUAUUAAAAGCUUUAUUUUUUCUUUUUUUCUUUUAAUGGUUUUAUUAAAAUUAUU